Molecule: ribosomal RNA, 345 nt
Filed under: uncultured bacterium
Lineage: Bacteria
Description: bacterial SSU rRNA
Rfam family: Bacterial small subunit ribosomal RNA
Source: RNAcentral
AUCGGAACACAGGUGCUGCAUGGCUGUCGUCAGCUCGUGUCGUGAGAUGUUGGGUUAAGUCCCGCAACGAGCGCAACCCUUAUCAUUAGUUGCUACGCAAGGGCACUCUAAUGAGACUGCCGGUGACAAACCGGAGGAAGGUGGGGAUGACGUCAAGUCCUCAUGGCCCUUAUGGGUAGGGCUUCACACGUCAUACAAUGGUCGGUACAGAGGGUUGCCAAGCCGCGAGGCGGAGCCAAUCCCACAAAGCCGAUCGUACUCCGGAUUGUUCUCUGCAACUCGAGAGCAUGAAGUCGGAAUCGCUAGUAAUCGCGGGUCAGCAUGCUGCGGUGAAUACGUUCCCGG